AAGACUAUAGACCUGCGGAGUACCUGCGGAAGGAUCAUUACCGAGUUUACAACUCCCAAACCCCAUGUGAACAUACCUGUUUCGUUCCCUCGGCGGUGUCCGGCAACGGCCCGCCAGAGGACCCAACAAACUCUUUUGAAUUUUUCAGUAUCUUCUGAGUGAAAAAAACAAUAAAUCAAAACUUUUAACAACGGAUCUCU
This 200-nucleotide unclassified non-coding RNA is filed under the name soil metagenome. RNAcentral's name for it is "partial contains 5.8S ribosomal RNA, internal transcribed spacer 2, and large subunit ribosomal RNA". The record is from RNAcentral.